UAAUCCACACCUAUGUUUGCGGUAUAACACU
This 31-nucleotide non-coding RNA is filed under the name Rattus norvegicus (Norway rat). Lineage: Eukaryota; Metazoa; Chordata; Mammalia; Rodentia; Muridae. The record is from RNAcentral.